This 22-nucleotide microRNA is filed under the name Nematostella vectensis (starlet sea anemone). Its description in RNAcentral is "Nve-Mir-2051_3p (mature (guide))". The record is from RNAcentral. Lineage: Eukaryota; Metazoa; Cnidaria; Anthozoa; Actiniaria; Edwardsiidae.
UACCGGAGUCUUUUCUGUGUCC